This 220-nucleotide ribosomal RNA is filed under the name uncultured bacterium. Its description in RNAcentral is "partial 16S ribosomal RNA". It matches the Rfam family "Bacterial small subunit ribosomal RNA", at positions 524 to 737 of the family's 1533-position model. The record is from RNAcentral.
UACGGAGGGUGCAAGCGUUGUCCGGAAUCACUGGGCGUAAAGGGCGCGUAGGCGACUCAUGAAGCUGUGGUGAAAGUCCGGGGCUCAACCUCGGAUCGGCCCGUGGCGACUCGUGGGCUCGGAGCACUGUAGAGGCGGGUGGAAUCCUGGUGUAGCGGUGGAAUGCGCAGGAGUAUCAGGAGGAACCACCGAUGGCGGAAAGGCCAGGUCACUGGGCCGG